GGGGGCGUAUUGGCUUCGACGGGGGUAGGUUGUAUCUGGGAAGCGAGUCGAGGGAACCUGUGGACCCGCGUUAAAAAACUAUGGGAUUAAAGAUAAACGCAAACGAUAAUUUUGCAUUAGCAGCUUAGUCUGCUACGUUCUACCUUAGAGUACCGCGGCUUAGGAUAGGGCGCCGAUAGCGGUGAAACGAGCCUGUGUAAGCUUUGCCACAGGAACGGGAUUUAUGAAGCUACUGAAACUAGAAGCGUGUCCUUGGGCGUCUGGUAGAGGGAAUGUUAAAAUAAGGACUGCACUCGGAGAUGCUCAGGUAUUACGACUUUCGGACAGGGGUUCGACACCCCUCGCCUCCACCA
RNAcentral lists this transfer-messenger RNA (353 nucleotides) under Clostridiaceae. Its description in RNAcentral is "Clostridium_AM magnum Standard tmRNA". It matches the Rfam family "transfer-messenger RNA". Rfam says of the family: Bacterial tmRNA, also known as 10Sa RNA or SsrA, is named for its dual tRNA and mRNA-like properties. Its role is to liberate the mRNA from a stalled ribosome. RNAcentral also lists the same sequence under 1 other name. Lineage: Bacteria; Bacillati; Bacillota; Clostridia; Eubacteriales. The record is from RNAcentral.